CUUUUUUCAUCAGCAGGUAUUACCACUUUACCAUUACAUGUGUGGAUAUUUUCACCAGCCUAUUGCUUGGUACACCCAUCAGGAAUACCUAUGAGAUCCAGAGAGUGGAAUAAUUGCAGCUGGCCCCACUGAAGGAAUGGUGUGGAUCUCUAAAAGGAAGAAGAGACACUCAGAUGUCAGCUACUUGAGAACAGGGACAACACCUCUCUGGUUUACAGCUCCUGGUCCAGAGCCUGCAACAUGUAAGUAAUUAUCUGUGACAUGACAGAGUGUGUACAAAUAGAA
Long non-coding RNA from Herpailurus yagouaroundi (jaguarundi), 285 nucleotides. RefSeq lists it as uncharacterized. The record is from RefSeq and is a predicted model, not a curated record. The transcript has 3 exons. Lineage: Eukaryota; Metazoa; Chordata; Mammalia; Carnivora; Felidae.